UGCCAGCCGCCGCGGUAAUACGGAGGAUCCUAGCGUUAUUCGGAAUUACUGGGCGUAAAGCGAGCGUAGGCUGAUUUGUAAGUUGGAUGUGAAAUCCCAGAGCUUAACUCUGGAACUGCAUUUCGAACUGGCAGGCUAGAGUACAAGAGAGGGUGGUAGAAUUUCCUGUGUAGCGGUGAAAUGCGUAGAUAUAGGAAGGAAUACCAGUGGCGAAGGCGGCCACCUGGCUUGAUACUGACGCUGAGGUGCGAAAGCGUGGGGAGCGAACAGGAUUAGAUA
Molecule: ribosomal RNA, 279 nt
Filed under: uncultured bacterium
Lineage: Bacteria
Description: partial 16S ribosomal RNA
Rfam family: Bacterial small subunit ribosomal RNA
Source: RNAcentral